UACGAAGGGGGCUAGCGUUGUUCGGAAUUACUGGGCGUAAAGCGCGUGUAGGCGGGUCUUUAAGUCAGGGGUGAAAUGCCAAGGCUCAACCUUGGAACUGCCUUUGAUACUGGAGACCUUGAGUCCGGGAGAGGUGAGUGGAAUUGCGAGUGUAGAGGUGAAAUUCGUAGAUAUUCGCAAGAACACCAGUGGCGAAGGCGGCUCACUGGGACGGUACUGGCGCUGAGACGCGAAAGCGUGGGGAGCAAACAGG
This 253-nucleotide ribosomal RNA is filed under the name uncultured bacterium. RNAcentral describes it as "partial 16S ribosomal RNA". It matches the Rfam family "Bacterial small subunit ribosomal RNA", at positions 524 to 776 of the family's 1533-position model. The record is from RNAcentral.